CUCCUAUCUAGAUUCCCUAUUGGCCAGACAGUGCUUUAUUGACAAAUGCACAGGACUUCCCCAACAGGGAUGACAUAAAAUUCAUGUUCACUGGGGUUCCGCUGAGGCCCAGGCUAAAGGACAGGGGAGUAAUUGUGGCCUAGUCACCUCAGGCCAUUCUCACAGGCCAGUGCACAGGCCCUCAUUCACCCAGCAGUGUUUUCCUGUCUAGGGAACCCUGUGAAGUCCGGGUGCUCUUCUCUCAGGGAACAUGAGUCCUGCCAAAGGAUGCACUUUUUUGGUACUCUAUGUAUUAUAAGGCUGGCUGGCAUCAGAAAUCUGUUAAUGUCCAUCUCUUCUAUUCUGCAUUUCACUGAUCCAGGAUGCAGACUUGGUGCCCCUGUCAUUUCACCUUCAGGUAAGAGAAAGUUCAUGUUAAUUGCCUAGGACUCUUUUUUAUAUCUGCCUACAAAUAUUUAAUGGCACGUUCUUCUAGGAAUUCAUUGACACUUGCAGCACAGAAAAUGUGCUCUCCCUUCCUUUUUGGUAUCCCCUAGGCCAAUUCACAUGUGAAAAGUAUGGCACUUCAAACUAUCUUUACUUAUAUAUUUGCAAAUCGUAGGUAUUUGGAAAUAGAGCAGUGACUGUUCAUGUAAAUGGGUCACAAGGACUGGUUCAGGAUGUACAGGCACUGUGCCUUGCACAGCUCAGUGUUAGGCAAAUAUUACCUUGAAAUUCCUGGCUUGGGGUGUCUAUCUAGCUCUCAUGGUUAUUAUUACUUCCUGAAUAAAAAUUUCAUUUUUCCACUUUGUCAGGAUAUAGCUAUGCUCCAAAAUUGCAAACAUUUUGCUCAUGAAUUUCCACUAUGCAGGCUCUCAAUGGCAGGGAGAUCACUGAGUUACUUUUCUUAGGUUCAUAAUGCAAAUGGAGACUCACAGUUUCCUCAUGCUCAAAUGUAUGUAUCAGUCAGGCAAACUCAGAUAUCUUUUCCUUUUGUUAGAAUUAGUGAACUUGUCCUGACAUGCAUGCAUCAGUCCAUAUGAGGCAACUUGACAGGAUACAAUUAUCCACGCAUUCCCCUCUUUGCCUAGAUGCACAGGCUCAUUAUCAUGUGGAGACGAAAUCUUCACUCAUGAGUUUCAUGGAAUUUCAACCACAUGAAUGACAUUCCAAGCAACAAGGCUUCAGAUGCAUAUGCAAUAAGGAAUGGGCCAAGAGUACAGGUGUAGGUAUCCUAAGUAGUUGAUACUUUUGCAACAAAAACCUUGAUGGUUCACAUCUUACAAUGUUGAUUAGGCAAUGAUUUCAGAAAAAAAUGGGAUAGAGCUGUGCAAAGAACUGGAGAUGAAUGAUCAUGGAUCUUUUAAGACGCAGUGCCUGAACAGAAGCUAAAAUGUUUUCACCAGACUCUUAAUAUGCCUUCCCAAUAUUAUGUCAGCUGAUGCUAUGAAUGUCGGCAGUGAGCUUGAGGGUGGCACAGUUGAAGUGUAAAACUUGACUAGGGGUAGCAAACAGGUAUCCAACACUAUAAUUUUUCAUUAUCUUUUUCACAGUUUUAUUACAAAUUGCCAAAAACUAACUUGCUAGAGAGUUUGGGUGUUCUGAAAUUGGGCAUUUCAUUCCUCUGACACUGACCUGUUAUUUUGGUGGCACAAAAUUUUCCUUGCCUAAGAGAAUUGUUUAUAUGCUUGAUCCCUUGCAGCAGCCUAGUGCUGGCUGACAAUUUGACUGAAUAUUGCAGAGAUCAUCCUUCUAGAUUGUCUUUGUCAUCGUGGUAAGCAGCACUGUUUUUGACCCACUAUCAUAUAUAUUUAUGCCUUCUGAGGACACGGGUCUAUGAUGACAUAACAAUGUCAUGCAGAUCGAUAAACACAUAAAAAUCAUUUUCAAUAGGAUUAUGAUGAGACCCAGGCUAUAAGACUGGGGAGAAAUGAGGGCCUAGUAUACUCAAGCAGUUCUGAUAAGCCAGUGCACAGGCCCUCAUUCACCUAGCAGUGUUUCCUUGUCUGGGCAAUCCUGUGAGGUGCAGAUGCUCUUCUUUAGGAGAGCACUGAGCUUCCCUCAGAAGGACUUGUUGGGACAAUCUAUGUAUGUCAAAUCUGCCAUGUAUCAGCACUAUGCACAUUUCCAUCUCUUCUCUCCUGGAUUACAGUGAUCAAGAAUACUGAUUGUGUGGCCCAAUCAUUUCACAUUCAGGUAAGGUGAAAAUUCAGGUUAACUACCUUGGAUGUUGUUGGAUUUCUGCCUUCAAUAGUAGAAAGCAUAAACUUCUAGGAAUCCAAGGACAUUUAAGGCAUAGAACUUGGGCUCUCCUUUCCUUUUGGUAAUUCCUUAAGCCUCCCAUGAGAAGAUGGUAAUUCAUACUAUUUUUUAUUGUAGGAUUCCAAUUCAUAGGUCUGGGAAAUCAUAGCUGUGACUGUUCUGGGAAAUGGGACACCUAGAUUAGGUCAGAUGUGUAGGUCCUGUGCCAUGCUCAGCUCAGUGAUAGGUAAAUGUUACUUUUAAAUUCCUGGCUUUGGGUGUCUAUCUAGAACUCAUGCUGAUUGUUAGUGCUGGGGCAAAAACUUCAUAUUCUCCCAGUGUCAGGAGGGUGACAUACUCCAAACUUCCAAAUAUGGCGCUCAUGCAUGUCCACUAUGCAGUCCCUCAACUACAGGGAACAGAAACACACAAACCACAAGGCCUGCUUUGAAAACAGUUCUGAUAUUCCUGUUGACAUUGCAUGUUUCAUAAAUAUCCAUUACCUGAUGGCACUUGGAUAUGCACUGCAUGAUUCUAUAUAGUUCACAUGUUACUUGACAAAAUAAAAAUGCCAUACUGCAUUGAUAGACACAGGACAACUCAGUGCUUCUCUUAGGGAGAUGAAGAGGAAAACAUAGGGGAGAUCAGAAUGAGGAGAAUGACCAAUGUAGAAAAAUCUCAUAAUGAAUAUAUUAUCAUGAAAUCCAAAUGCUGGAAUGUCUCUUAAAAUUAAUUAGAAGACCAUCUUUGCCAGUUUUUAUGUGUUUUUAAAAAUAUUUUAUCAUCGUUCAAAGCUCUGUGGUUUUUCUCAUUUUGAUCACUAAAGCUGCAAUUUUGAAAUUAAUAAGUUUUCAUCUCAAAUGUGCUUUAAGAGGCAGAAGACCAUAUGUUCAUUCUGAUUGUGGUUCAGUAACUCUGGUCAGAAUAUGAGCAAUAAGAAAACUUUAGAGUCCCGACCAUCCAUUUCAAAGUCAAAGAGACUAGCUAUUCCAGCUUUCCUGUAUCAUUGGAAAGAGACAGGAGAUAAGAGAGAGGCUUUCUUUAUCUAUGAUGACAAUAAGUCUCUAAGGAUGGUGAGCAACGCAUAAAAAUGACAAUGUGAGGGCCAGGUGGGAUGUUCCCUUAACAACAGUGAUGUUUCCCGAAUAUGGCUACUACUGCUCCCUUUUCCAGGAUGACAGAAAACAAUGCAUACUGCUUUAUCUCCCAUAUUUUGAGGGAAAACAAUUUUAAUGUGACUAUCAUGUAGUAUCAUAUGAUGAAUCACUUUCUGUUACACUAUACAAAUAUGUACAUUCACCCUUGCUUUUAUUUCAUUGAUUUUAUGAGGGUUUGAAAGAAUGAAUUCAAAGAUGGGGAAUCAGUGAUUUUAUCACUGAGCAUUACCGGGGCACAGCAUUGUGACAUUCCUAUAUUGGGGAAAGGAGAAAAGGAUUGUAGUAUUCCCUGCCGCCAUUACCAAGAAUUUCAGAGGUUGCAGUACCUUCAUCCUGUUCCCAAUUACCAGCAAUGGAAGAUAAGUUAUUUUGUGUUAGAAUUAUUGCUUUUCUCUUCAAUUAACUAAACACAUCAGGAGGGUCAUAGUCAUGUACCAUCCAGUCACCAAAUCAAGCCAUGUCUUCAGACUGACCAGAAAGCACCAAUACACUACUAUCACGUCAACAUAUGGAGAAUAUCAUAUUUUUCUGAUUAUGGGAUCCACGUCAGAAGAGUAGCCUUUGACACCCAACUUGGAAAGAAUGCUUCCGAUUCCAAGAGAACUGAUUCUGUUUUAUUCCAUGAAGGAGAAUUAAGCAAACUGACAAUUCGUCUGAAUUUCCCAAAAUCUUACCCUCUAAACUAUCUUUGCCAUGAGUUAUGUUGAACUUUUUAUGUACCAAUUUCAAGUACAUCUAUGCAUUCUGAGAACAUGGGUCUUUGAUGACAAACCAAUGUCACACAGAGAGGUGAUGAAAUAAAAAUAAUUUUAAAGGAUAGGAAAGAAAUGGGGGCCUAGUCUCCUCUGAUAUUUCUCAUAGUCCAAUACACAGGCCCUCAUUACCUUAACAGUGUUUCCUGGUCUGGAGAAUCCUGUGAGGUCAAGUUGCACUUCCUCAGCAGAGCACUGAGCUUUGUGUCAUAAGCCACUUGUUGUAAAACUCUACACAUGUCUAGGUUGCCAGGAACAAGCAAGAAACACAUGUCCCAUCUUAUCUGCCCUCUUUCAGUGAUCCUGGUUGUCAACUUGGUGCCACAGAGAUGAGACUUUUAGAGAAGUGGAAAGAAAAUCCCAAGGUCCAGGCUCUCUCUGGGUCCUGUGCCUUCACCUACUAAUACAGCUGACCUUCUGAGUCAUUUAAUAACAUUCGCAGUACAGCAUUCAUGUGCUGCCUUCCUAUUAAAAAAACUGGUACCUAAGCUCCAGAUUCUAGGAUCAACAUUCAAUCUGCCUAUCUUGGAGACUUAAAAAAUCCUUAGAUAUGAGAAAUGGAGCACCAACUGCACGGGGGAGGACAGCACAAGUUUCAGGUCAAGAGGUUUAUGCAUUCUGCAUUGCACAGAUCAGUGAUUGCACAAUAUGAUCAUGACUUUACUGCAUUGGUGUGUCUAUGUGACUCCCAUUCUGAUUGUUCCAGCAAGGGUAAUAACUCUGGGCCUCACUAUGUCAGGAUGGUGACAUGCUCAGUGUUUGCAAAGAUUGGCCACAGGAAUGACCACUCUGAAUGCCCUGGAUACCAGGGGGAUCAAUAAGCUACUUUUCUGUGGAAUCCGAAGAUAUUAGGAGACUCCCAAUGACCUAAUGCUGUAAUGGGCACUGAGAGCAGGACCAAAUCAGAUGCCUUUCCAUCCCUUGGGAUUAAGGAAUUUUUCUGUCACCCAUGUAUCAAAAAUAAUAGGCCAUGCAAGAGGGUGCAUCAUGUAAUGCACAUCCAUUGCACCCUCAAAUACACAGACUCAAUAUCAUCUGAAGACCAGCUCAUCACACAUCGGGUGCAUGGUAUAUAUAUAAAGGAUUCCCUGGCUUUUAUGAUAAUGAAUGACCAGAAAACUUGAACAAGAAUACUAAGAAGGAGGUCCAUGGGAAAUAAAGAACCUUGAGGUUAAGCAUCCUGCUCUGGUGAGUUGAAGUAAUUUUCAGAUGGUAAUAUGUUAAUGCUAUGCAAUAAACAGCAGAUGACAGUCUUGGACCUUGUCAGGAACAUGGCAAAGAUCAGAACCUGAAAUAAUUUCAGUAGCUGUGUAUCAUGUUUUCCCAAUAUUACAUGGUAGGAUUCUAGGAGUGAAGGCACAGAAGGCAAGGUUGAAUCAACUAAAGGAUUAAAUUUACCUUGGGGCCCCAGACAGUUUUCAUUUCCUCAACUCUCCCAUUCAUUGGCAAUUGACCCUAAUUAUUCUGCUAGAGAUAAUGGUGUGAUCAGACAGUGGGCAUGGCAACUUCAUCAAAACCUAACAUGGUAAAGUCUAUGUCACAACAGUAGUAAGUUUUUGACACCCAAUUUAGGAUGUUUGCACUUCAGGUAUUUUGCAACAUGUGUACUUAAUGAAGAAAACACAGCAAUCACACAUAAUAUAGUUUGCAAAUAGAUACAACUCUGACUUGUACAAAGCACUACACUCAGAUCCAUGCAUCUGCAGAACACUCCCAUGGCAAACAGAGAGAUAGGUAGUUUCAAACAGGCCUUAUACAUGGAAGCAGAUACACUCAGUUUCGCAAGUGUGACACCUAUGAAACGCAAACCCUAUAUUCAGAAUCAUUGAGAUCCAUCCAAAUGAAGAUCAAACAACAUUUUUUAAGUUUCACUGAGAUACUAUAAAAUGAAGUCUUGAGGAGUGUUGACAUGUGUUGAAUGGAUACCUGUACCUAAAAAUGUUUAAAGAAAAGGAAACUGAAUAAAGAAACUUGUCCUAGAAUAGUGGUAAAAUACACAGUUCUCACACAGAAACCAUCAAUUAAAUUCAAGGAUGCAGUGUGCUCCUCAAGUUCUUAUAGAAAAUGCCUUUCUUUCAGAGAAAAAAAGUUUACCAUCUCAUUUACAAGUGCCACUGUUAAAUUGGAAAACAUCUAUGUUUGGAAGGGCAUCUGAAACACCUUUGCUGUGUAAGAUUUCAGCACCACCUCAAGGAAUAAAACUCAUGAUUGUACUUUCCAAAGAAGUUUUGCCUUUCCAGAAUUAUCUUAAUAAUGUCAUAAAUAUCAAAAUGAACACCUGAGAUCCUUUCUCUGAAGACAUUCUCAUUAUGAUCUUACAUCCAGGUAUAGAAGAAUUCAAAACUUGCAUCUUUGGUAUAGAUGUCGUAACCUGUCUGUGUUUGAGAACUGCUUUCUCUACCAGUUCAUGCUAGACUUAGCAGUCAGGAUACAAUUCCAUCCAUGACAUAAUUUCAUUCCUAUUUUCUUGCACUUUGAAGUUGCAUUGGACUUUUCCCCUCCUGGCUGGAGGAGGUAAGCAUUGAAUCUUAUUUUGUUGUGUAGGUACCUCUUUUCUAUGACUGGUAAUUUCAAACCUCAGGAUAUAAUACUUCAGAGGUCCAAGGACAUAUUUGCUAUGAUUUUCCUGUCUAGGCACUCAGGUUCUGAUUCGUGAAAUAUGGAUCACGUUUAUCCCACGUCAGCCCAUUUUUAUUCAAGUUCACAUACCAUGGAAUUCCAUUUUCAAGUCACCUAAAAGGUGACCAAAUUGCCUAGAUCCCUCUGUGCUUUUUCAAAGAAAAGAUCCCAGUUGUGUGAAAGGCAUUGUAAAGUCUCCUUUAACCACCUCAGUCUCAAGUUUCUGCUCUAAGGUAAGUUAGACUUCUUAUAUCUCAAUUCCUCUCUUGUUUUCUUACCUCAUUAUCCUUAAAACUCAUCAUAAGCCCAUUUCCUAGCAUCUUUUGCUGCUACAGAAUUCUGAGAAAUACAAGGGGGACCAUUCCCUAUGAAUAGCCCAGGAGAAUGGAGAAUACACAUUAUUAUUCCUUUUUUUCUGAUUGAUCUAGUUGUGAUACCUGACAAUGUACUCUCAGAGUUUUCAAUAACUGAUUUCUUUGCUUGUUUAUCUGGGAAAGCAUUCAAAACUUGUAUUUAAGCAUUUAAAACAUGUGAUAAUCUUUUACUUUACUUUUUACAAAGUAGGAAUAUAAGGUUAACCUCAGGGGUCCCAUGAUCAGACACAUUAAUAAAAAUAACGUUUUCUACUUAGGGAGAACCUCAAGUGAACUUUUGGAAAUUCAGAGGAGUAUUAAAUGUGGUAUUUUAGCAUAGAAAGACCUCAUCCAGAGAGAAAAACACAACAAAAGGCCUGCUCUUAAAAUGCUUCUGAUAUUACUGUAGGCAUUACUUAUCAUAUACAAACCCAUGAAGUGAUGGCAUUUGAUUACACACUGCAUGAUUCUACAAAGUUUUGACUGUUACCUGACAAAUGCAAAAUCCAUACUGGAAUCUGAAGCACAGGACAAAUUCAGUGGUUAUGUGUGGGAGAUUUGGAUGUAAACAGGGGAGAUCAGGAGGAGGAGGAAGAAAAAUAUAGUAAGCAUAUCAUUUUAAAUAUAUUUUCAUAAAAUCCAAAAGAUGCAAUGCCUUUUAAAAUUUACAGAGGAUGACUUUUCUCAUUUUUGAUGUGUUUUUCUCAGUUUUUUAUCCAAUUUUCAUGUAAAGCAGACUUCAGUUAAUAAAUUGAGCCCAUCAAAACUGCAGGGAAUUUUUCUUUUGUAUAAUUAAUUCUGGCAAAUUGAACAUUGAUAACUUUUCAAUAUGUAUAUAUUUUGCCAGGAAAGAGACCUUCUAUAUGUGGGUCAGUAAGUCUGAUCUUAACCUGAUCAACAAGACAGCUUCACAGUCCUUGCCAUCCAUUUCAAAGUCAAAGAGAGCAGAUUUCCAGAUUUUGACAAGUACUUUCCCCAUUGGAAGGAUGACAGAUUAUUGUAAAGAUAAACAGCACACUUGAUGAGGGUAUAGGUAAGGAUUUAUUGUGGCAAGUACUUACAAGAGAAAACUUGCAACCAAGGUGAAUCAGCAGCUUUUGCUAUAGGACUAGAAGCCUGAAAGGGAGCAAUCAUCUCUCUUGUAUCAACUUUUAUUACCACCUCCGUACAUUCGACUACCAAAGUGGGUGUGGUUAGCAGAACAGUAAACUUCCUUUUAUUACCAUUUCUGAAUGUGCUUCUAGCUACACCUUAGCUGGGCGUGGUUAGUGGUACAGUCCUAAUAUCUCUUCUAAAAUUCCUCUUUUGUUCUAAAGAAGAUAUUUAAGCAUACAACUACACUAACUUCUGUCAAUGUACAAAGCAUCUCAAACAUCUCUCCCAUUUAAACCAAAGCUUAUCUUUAAGAGAUACCCAAGUCUGAUGACUUCUUUCAAAUCCCAACCUUAAAAUAACUGAAAACUAACACUGACAGGUGUAAACUACCCUGCAAUGUCAACAAGAGGAAAAAUGGAUGUGGAAUUCUCACAUUUACUUCCUGCAAAAUUUAGAUGAUGACAAUCUCAUUGGUGAAUGUGGGAAGAAAAACAUUAGUGUAACAAAAAUCUUAAGUAGGUUAGAAAUUCUCAGUUUGGCAGGAGAUGCUUGAUUGAAUUUCUUGACUGGAAUUUUAGUGCUGAUUGAAGCUCUUGUCCAAAGCUCUGGCAAGAUUGUAGAAAGAGCUCUGAACCAGGUCCAUGUUCUGGAGUUAUCAAGUGAUGCAGUCCCAAGAUAGUUUCAGGAUGGUACUUUUCAUGUGGAGUCAUUGAUGUGGGGCAGUUGAGAUGCAUCAAGAUGAAUCAGAUGGAGUCCAUGAAUGAGGACCCCAUUCUGUUGCGAAAUCAUUUGAAGAUUGCUCUUAGUAAAUUCCUUUAUUUAUGCCAAACUCAAACAUAAAUGUUAACAAAGGAAUUGUCAACUUUUAAAUUUAUUGAAAUGGGGAAAGGCAACAAUAAAGAAGAGAGUAAACUUGGAGGAGAUAAGACAUUCAGAAAAGGAAGUCAGUGUAAACAACAUACAUGCCUAAUUUUCUUAUCUUUUGUCUUGUAUCAAUGGCUCUUGGGUAUAAUACGGAAAAUCUGAAUUUUAUAUUAACAAUAUGCUUGGAUUUAGAGUAGGAGAGCCAAUCCAACUCCAAACCCAGCUUCUUUUAAAUGAAUGGGGUAUAAAAAUAUAAAGAAACAAAAAGAAAUGGAUAUUAUAAAAACAAUUUAAUGAGAAGUUGUCUUUUAUACCACAAGCUGAAUUAUUAUUUGUUUGAUGGUCCUCAGAAUAGCUAACCAUUCUUCUUCAGGUAUCCAUAUGUCCAGUAUUUUUUCAUUGAAGCUGAGGUUUCCUGUAAAGACAAUAAACAGAAGACUUCUCUUUCUUUUUUGAGGUCUCCUUAUCCAUAGUAGAAUAUGACCUUGUAGAAAGCUCCUCCUGUGGGUCCUUCUGUUUCGAUCGACUCUUGAUUACUAUGAUGGUAUCCAAAGUUUUUCUUCUCCUGUGGAAACAAAGGGAAAAUGUUUCCCCAAAGUUACACAUAUCCUGUUUUCCAGACUGAGAUCAUAGCAACCUUGAACUACACUGCUAAUGCUAUGAAUGAAGGCAAUGAGGAUGAUUGUGAAGCCAGUGAAGAGUAAAACAUACGUGGGUGUUGCAAACAGGUAGCCACCAUUAAUAUUUUUCAUUAUCUCUCCCAUGACUUUGAUAAGCAAUUGCCAACUUAUCAUGCUUUAGAGGUUUGGCUGUGCAAAAGGUAGGCAAGGCAAUUAUUCUGACCCUGACAUGCCCAUUUUGAUGUCCCAAAAUUUGUCUUGAAUAAAGACGUUAUUCUGCUUUAUCUCUGGCAGGACCCUAAUGCCAGCUGACCAUUUGCUGAAGCAUGCCUAGACCUACCUGCAAGAUGGCCUUAGUAUACUGGAUGUAGAAUUCGUGCCCCAAUAAUUUCACCUUCAGGAGUCUAAGGCUGGCUGACUGAUUGUCUGAAGCUCUCCAAGAUCUACCUGCUAGAUGGUCUUUGUCAUCCUGUGAUCCAGCAUGCCUAAUAUUUGCCCCAGUCAUGAGAUAUUCAGUAGCCUAAUGCCGGCUGACCAUUUGUCUGAAGCUCACCAAGACUUACCUUCUAGAUGGUCUUUGUCGUCCUGUGAUUGAGGAUGCAGUCUUCUAACACAGUCAUUUCACCUUCAGGAACCUAAUGCCGGCUGACAAUUUUCUGAAGCUAGCCGAGACUUACAUUCUAGAUGGUCUUUGUCAUCCUGUUGUCCACGAUGCAGUCUUCUAGCUCAGUCAUUUCAGCUUCAGUGAUCCAGGAUGCAGACUUGGUACCCCAAUCAUUUCACUUUCAAGAGUCUAAUGAUGGCUGACCAUUUGUCCGAAGCUCAUGGAGACCUACCUUCUAGAUGGUCUUUGUCAUCCUGGAUACCGAUUUGGAACCCCUGUCCUUACACAUUCUGGAGCCAAAUGCAGGCUGACCAGUUGUCCAAAGCUCGCCAAGAACUACCUGAGACAUGGUCAUUGUUAUCCCGGCAAGCAGCACUGUUUGUGUACCAUUAUCAGUGAUCUAGGAUGUAGACAUGGUGCCCCGGUCAUUUCACCUUAAGUUAUCCAGGAUGCAGACAUUGUGCCCCAGUAAUUUCACUUUCAGUGAUCCAGGAUGCAGAAUUAUCCCUCAGUCAUUUCACAUUCAGGAACCUAAUGCUGGCUGACCAUUUUUCUGAAGCUCACCAAAUCUUACCUUCUAGAUGGUGUUUGUCAUCCAUUGCUCCAGGAUGCAGUCUUCUAACACAGUCAUUUCACCUUCAGUGAUCCAGGAUACACACUUGAAACCCUGUCAUUUCACAUUCAGGAGCCUAAUGUUGGAUGAUAAUUUGGCUGAAGCUUGCCAAGACUUACCUUCUAGAUGGUCUUUUUCAUCCUGGUUGGAAUUACAAAGGACUCUUACCAUUCAGGCUUGAUAGGAACCUAAUGCCGACUGACCAUUUGUCUGAAGCUUGGCUACACCUACCUGCAAGAUGGUCUUAGCAUCCUGGAUUCUAAUGUUCUAAUGCCGGCUGAACAUUUGUCUGAAAAUUGCAGAGACAUACCUGCUGGAUGAUCUUUAUCAGACUGUGAUCAAGAAUGCAGAUUUGGUGCCCCAGUCAUUUCACCUUCAGAUUUGAUCACCAAAUGCCCCCAAUUAUCAUGCUCAAGAGUUUGGACCUUCAGAAACUGGCAAUUCCUCUCACACUGAUAUAAUAUUUUGGCCAUGAAAAAUUAUCCUUUAACAAGAGAACAGAUUCUGCUUGAUAUAUUGUGGGAGUCUAAUGCCCACUGAAAAAUUUUCUGAAGAUCACCAAGACCUAAAUCCUACAUGGUAUUUAAAAUCUUAGUAAGCAGCAGUAUUUGUGUUCCACUAUCAGUUAUAGCUAUCCCUUCUAAGGACCCGGGUCUGUAGUGAAAAACGAAUGAUAUGAAGAGAAGUGAUGAUAUAAAAAAGCAUUAUUAAAAGGGUUAUGCUGAAGCCCAGGCUAAAGGACUGGUGAGAAUGUCGGGCCUAGUCUCUUCAUGCCUUUAUAGUGGUGCAGUACACAGGCCCUCAUUCACCCAGCAUUGUUUCCCUGUCUGGGGAAUCAUGUGAGUUCCAGGUACUCUUCUUAGAUGAGCACUGAGCCUGCCUAAGAAGGCAGUAUUAGGGGAAAUCUAUGUAUGUCAAUUCUGGCAAGCCUUAGUAAUCUACCAAUGUCAAUCUCUUUAGUCUACAUUUCAGUGAUCCAGGAUGCAGACUUGGUACGCCAAUCAUUUCACCUUCAGGUAAGCAAGUAAAGAACAGGCUAAGUGCCUCGGUCUCUUUAUGAUGUCUGCAUUCAAAUAUUACAAAGCAUGACCUUGUAGGAAUCCAGUGACACUUGCAGCAGAAAACGUAGACUCUCAUUCCUCUAGGCCUAUUCCCAUGAAAAAGGGAUGGUAUUUCAAACUGCCCUUUCUUGUAGAAUUCCAAAUACUAGGUAUCAGGAAAAAGAGCAGUGACUGAUCAGUGAAACGAGACUCCAGGAUUAGGUCAGGAUAUACAGGUCCUGUCCCUUGCACAGCUCAGUUAUAGUAAAAUAUGAUUUUGAAAGUCCUGGAUUGGGGUGUUUAUCUAGCUUCUAUGCUGAUGUUACUGCCGGGGCAAAAACUUCAUGUUCUUUUUGUGUCAGGAUGGUGAUAUACUCUAAAAUUGCAAAGAUGGUGCUCAUGAAUAUCCACUAUGCAGGCCAAAAACAGCAGGGAGAUCAUUUGGUUACAUUUCUUUGGCUAAUAGCAAAUGGAGAGUCACAGUGUUCUAGUGCACAAACAUACGUAUCAGUUAGAAAGUCAUAUAUAUUUUCCUUUUGUUAGGAUUAGUGAUCUUGUCCUGCCAUGAAGGCAUCAGGCCACAUGAGGCAAUUCGACAGGACACAUCUGGCCAGGAGCCUAAUGCCGGCUGAUCAUGUCUGAAGCUCGCAAAGAUCUACCUGCUGGAUGGUCUUUGUCAUCCUGUGAUACAGCAUCCUGAAUAUUUGCCCCAGUCAUGGGCUAUUCAGUUAUUCUGGAUGCACACUUGGUGCCCCAGGCAUUUCAUCUUCAGCAUUUCAGUUAUCCAGGAUGCAGACCUAGAGCCUCAGUCAUUUCACCUACAGGAGCCUAAAUCCAGCCGACCAUUUGAACAAAUAUCGCCGAGACCUACCUUCUAGAUGGUGUUUGAUAUGUUGGAUCCAAAUGCCAGCUGCUCAUUUGUCCGAAGCUCGCAGAGAUCUACCUUCUACAUGGUCUUUGUCAUCCUGGUAAGCAGAAAUGUUUGUGACCCACUAUCAAGUAUAGCUAUUUCUUCUGAGGACCCAGGUUUAUGAUGACAAACCAAUGUCAUGAAGAGAGAUGAUUACAUAAAAACGAUGCUCAAUAAGAUUAUGCGGAGGCCCAAACAAAAGCAAAGGUGAAAAAUGGGGACCUAGUCUCCUCAGGCCAUUCUCAUAGGCUAUUGCACAGGGCCUCAUUGACCCAGGAGUAUUUCCCUCUCUUGGGAAUCCUGUGAGGUAGAGUUGCUCUUCUUUAGAGGAGCACUGAGCCUCCAUCAGAAGGAAAUUGUGGCACUCUUCAUGUGUCAAGGAAACCAGGCAUCAGCACUCUGGUCAUGUACAUCUCUUCUCUUCUGCAUUUCAGUGGUGCCAGAUGCCAUCAUGGUGCCCCAAUCAUGAGACAUUCAUGUAAGUGGCACUUAUCUGCAAGGAGAAAAUUUGGUUACUUCUCUGCGGCAAAUAAGGCAGACGUAGACUCACAGUAUUCUAAUGCAUAAAUUACAUAUCAGUUAGGCAAACUCAGAUAUCUUUUCUUUCAUUAGGAUUAGUGAACUUGUCCUGCCAUUCAAGCAUCAGGCCACAUGAGGCAAUUUGACAGGAUGCAUCUGGCCAGGUAUUCCACUACUUGCCUAGAUGCACAGGCUGAUCAUCUUGUGUAGACCCACUCCUAACACAUCAGUGGCAUGAGACUUCAACCACAUAAAUGACACUCCAAGCUGCAAAUGCUUACAUUGCAUGUGUGAUAAGAAAUGGGUGAAGAGUAUAGGUUUAGGUAUCCUAAUCACACAGUGAAUGGGCUAUAAAGAAGCUUAAAGUUAUGCAUCUUACAAUGGUGAUUUGGUAAUGUCAGAGGGAAAUGGGAUAGAGUUGUGCAAAUAACUGGAUAUAAAUGGUCUUGGACCUUGUAAGACACAGUGCCAGAUCAGAAGCUAAACUUUUUUCAGCAGACCUAAAGUGUGCCUACACAAUGUUCUGACAGCUAAUGAUAUGAAUGCAGGUGGUGAGGAUGUUGGUUAAUCAUUUGAAAAUUUAAACAUGUCUAUGAGUAGCAAAAAGUUAACAAGCAUUAAAACAUUUCAUUAUCUCUUCCACAAAUUUGAUUAACAAUUGCCUCCAACUAUCGUGUAGAGAGUUUGGGUGUUAGGGAGCUGGGCAUUUCAUUUCCUCUGAUACUAACAUGACAUUUUAGGGACACUAAAUUUUCCUUGACUAUUUGAACUGAAUCUGCUUGAUCCCUUGCAGGAGCAUAAUGCCGGUUGACCAUUUGUCUGAUGCUCGCUGAGACUUACCUUCUAGAUGGUGUUUGUAAUCCUGUGAUCCAGGAAUCAGUCUUCUAACCUACUCAUUUCACCUUCAGGAGCCUAAUGCAGGCUGACCAUUUUCUGAAGCUAGCUGAGACUUACAUUCUAGAUGGUCUUUGACAUCCUGGAGAGCAACACUUUUUGUGACCCACUAUCAGUGAUCCAGGAUGCAGUCUUCUAAACAAGUAAUUUCACUUUCAGUGAUCCAAGAUGCAUACUUGGCCCCAAUCAUUUUUCCUUCAGUGAACGAGAAUGCAGACUUGGUGCCUCAUACGUGGAAAUAUCAGCUUACGUGCAUAUGUCUCAUUUGGAUAACUGCCUUCAAACUUUAAAAAGCAUGAACUUCUAGUGAACGUGGAUGCAGACUUGAUGCCUCAAUCAUUUCACCUUCAGUGAUCCAGGAUGCAGAGUUGGUGCACCAGUAAUUUCACCUUCAGCAGCAUAAUGCUGGCUAACGAUUUGACUGAAGAUUGCAGAGACCAUCCUUCUAAAUGGUCUUUGUCAUCGUGGUAAGCAGCACUUUUUGUGACACAAUAUCAGAUAUAUCUAUGCCUUCUGAGGAAACGAGUCUAUGAUGACAAACCAAUGCCAUGCAGAGUGAUGAUGACAUAAAAAUCAUUCUCAAUAGGAUUAUGAUGAGGCCGAGGCUAUAAGACUGGGGAGAAAUGAGGGCCUAGUCUACUCAGACCAUUCUCAUCAGCCAGUGUACAGACCCUCAUUCACCCAGCAGUGUUUUCAUGUCUGGGGAAUCGUGUGAGGUCCAUGUGCUCUUCUUUAGGAGAGCACUGAGCUUGCCUCAGAAGGAAUUGUUGGGACAAUCUAUGUAUGUCAAUUCUGCCAGGCAUCAGCACUCUGUGCAUUUUGAUCUCUUCUCUCCUGGAUUACAGUGAUCAAGGAUACUGAUUGUGUGGCCCAAUCAUUUCACAUUCAGGUAAUUUGAAAAUUCAGGUUAACUACCUUAGAUGUUGUUGGAUUUCUGCCUUCAAUAUUAGAAAGCAUAAACUUCUAGGAAUCCACGGACAUUUAAGGCAUAGACGUUGGCCUCUCCCUUCCUUUUGGGAAUCACUUAAGCCUAUUCCCAUGAGAAGAAGAUGGUAAUUCAAACAGCCUUUUAUUGUAGAAUUCCAAAUCAUAGGUUUGGGGAAACAUAGCUGUGAUUGUUCCGGGAAAUGGGACACCUGGAUUGGGUCAGAUGUGCAGGCCCUGCGCCGUGCUCAGCUCAGUGAUAGGUAAACGUUACCUAUAAAUUCCUGGCUUUGGGUGUCUAUCUACCACUCAUGCUGAUUGUUAGUGCCAGGGCAAAAUCUUCAUGUUCUCCCAGUGUCAGGAGGGUGACAUACUCUAAACUUCCAAACAUGGCAUUCAUGCAUGUCUACUAUGCAGUCCCUCAACUACAGGGAGAUCACUAGGUUACUCUUCUUGGGCUCAAAAAGCAAAUGGAGACUCACUGUGUUCUGGUGCUUAAAUGUAAAUAUCAGUUAGGCAAACUCAGAUACCUUUUCCUUUUGUUAGAAUUGUUGAAUUUGUCCUGACAUGAGUGCAUCAGGCCUCAUGAGGCAAUUCAGCAAGUUGCAACUGGCCAGGCAUAUAUUGCCUAGAUAUACAGGCUCAUCAUCUUGUGGAUACCCACCCAUCACACAUCAGUAGUAUGGAAUUUCAAACACAUGAAUGAUAUACCAAGUUGCAAAGGCUUCAGUUGCAUACAUGAUAAUGAAUGGGACAAGAGUACAGGUGUAGGUAUCCGAAGUAGGCAGUACUUGGGCAAUAAAGAAUCUUGAGGGUACUCAUCUUAACAUGGUGAUUAUGUAAUUGUGUCAGAAAGAAAAGGCAUAGAGCUGUGCAAAUUACUGGAGAUGAAUGGUCUUGAACCUUGUAAGAAACAAUGACUGCCAGAAGCUAAAAUGUUUUCAUCAGACCUAUAAUAUGACUUCCCAAUGGUCUGUCAGCUAAUGCUAUGAAUGCAGCCAGUGAGAAUGACAGUGAAACAAUGAAGCGUUAAAAAUUCUAGGAGUAGCAAAAGGUAACAAGCAUUAAAAUUAUUCAAUAUCUAUACCCGGCUUUGAUUACCAAUUACCCCCAAAUAUGUAGAGAUUUAGAGUGUUCCUUAGCUGGGUAUGGCAAUUCCUCUGAUACUGACAUGAUAUAUUGGAACCGCAAAAUUUUCCUUGCCUAAGAGAACUGAUUCUGCUUUAUUCCUUGCAGGAGCCUAGUGCUAGCUGACCAUUUCUCCAAAGGUCACUGAGACCUACCUUCUAGAUGAUCUUUUUAAUCCUGUGAUCAAGGUUAUCGAUUUGGUGCGCCAACAUUUCACCUUCAGGAGGCUAAUGCUGGCUGACCAUUUGGCCCAAGCUAGCCGUGACUUUCCUUCUAGAUGGCCUUUGUCAUCCUGUAAUCCAGGAUGCAGUCUCCUAACCCAGUCAUUUCACCUUCAGGAGCAUAAAACCUGCUGCUAUUUGUGCAAAACGUGAUGAUACCUGCCUUCUAGGUCUUUGUCAUCCUGUGAUCCAGGAUGCAGACUUGGUGCCCCAGUCAUUUCACCUUCAGUUAAGUGGAAAGGUCAGGUUGACUGCCUCGGUCUCUUUUGGAUAUCUGUCUUCAAAUAUUACAAAGCAUGAACUUGUAUGAAUCCAGUGAUACUUGCCGCACAAAACAUGUGCUCUCUCUUCCUUUUGGGUAUCCCGUAGGCCUAUUCCCAUGAGAAAAGGAUGGUAUUUCCAACUGUCUUUUCUUGUAGAAUUCCAAAUCAUUGGUAUGGGGAAACAGUGACUGUUUGGGGAAAUGGGACACCAGUAUUCGAUCAGGUUGUACAGGCAUUGUUACCUUGAAGUUUUUGGCUUGGGUUGUCUAUCUAGCUCCCAUGCUGAUUGUUACUGCCAGGGCUAAAACUUUACCUUCUCCCAGUUUGAGGAUGGUGAUAUGCUCCAAAAAUGCAAAAACAGUGCUCAGGAAUUUCCACUAUUCAGGCCCUCAACAGCAGGAAUUCACUAGGUUGAUUUUCUCAGGCUGAUAAAGCAAAGGGAUUCUCACAGUGUUCUAGUGCACAAUGUACAUAUCAGUAAGGCAAACUUAAUUUAACUUUUCCUUUUGUGAGGUUUAGUGAACUUGACCUAUCAUGCAGUCAUCAGGCCACAUAAGGCUAUUGGACAGGAUGCAACUGGCCAGGCAAUCCUCUCUUUGCCUAGAUUUACGGGCUCAUCACCAUGGGGAGACGCACUCACCACAAAUCAGUGGUAUGGAAUUUCGACCACAUGAAUGACAUGCCAAGCCUCAAAGGCUUAUGUUGCAUUUAUGAUAAAGAAUGGGCCAAGGGUACAGGUGUAGAUAUCCUUUGUAGGCAUUACUUGGGAAAUAAAAAUCCUUUAAAGUACACUUCUUACAAUGGGGAUUAGGCAAUGAUGUCAGAGGGAAAUAUGAUAGAGCUGUGAAAAGGACUGGAGAUGAAUGGCUUGGACCUUGUAAACACGGUGACUGAUCAGAAGCUAAAAUGUUUUCACCAGACCUAUAAUAUGCCUUCCCAAUGGUCUGUCAGCUGCUGCUAUGAAUGCAGAAAGUGAGGAUGAGGGUGAAACAAGUGAAGGUUUAAACUUGUCUAUGUGUAGCAAACAACCACUAUUAAACUUUUCAUUGUCUCUUUCACAACUUUGAAUACCAAUUUCCCGCAACUAUCGUGUAGAGAGUUUGGGUAUUCCGAAGCUGGGCAUUGCUAUUCCUUUGACAAUGACCUGAUAUUUUGGAAUCUCAGAAUUUUCCUUGACUUAGAGAACUGAGUCUCCUUGAUCCAAUGCAGGAGCCAAAUUCUGACUGAUCAUUUUGCCGAAGCUUGUGGACACCUAACUUCUAGAUGGUCUUUGUCAUCCUGGAUGCAGACUUGGUUCCCCAGUCAUUUCACCUUCAGAAUGUGCCUUGAACAAUGGAACUGAUUCUGGUUGAUUCCAUACAUGAGCCUAAUGCCGGCUGACCAUUUGUCUGAAGCUCACGGAGACCCACGUUCUAGAUGGUCUUUGUCAUCCUGUGUUCAAGAAUACCGAUUUGGAGCCAGGGUCCUUUCACCUUGAAGAAAGUUGAAAGAUAAGUUUAAGUACCUCUGUCUCUUUUGCAUCUCUGCCUUCAAACAUUAGAAAGCAAGACCUUCUAGGAAUCCAGUGACACUUACGGCAAAGAACUUGUUCUGGAACUUACUUUUGGAAUUCCCUAGUCAGAAGCCCAUGAGAAAAGGAUGGUAACUCAAACUGUCUUGUCUUUUUGGAUUCCAAGUAGUAGCUGUUGGGAAACAGAGCAGUGAUUCUUAAGGGAGGUAGGACACAAGGAUUGGGUCAGGACUUUCAAGCCCUGUUCCUUACACAGAUCAGUGAUAGGUGAAAGUGAUCUUCAAAUCCCUGCCAUUGGGUUGGGUGUCUAUCUAGCUCUCAUGUGGAUCGUUAGAGAUGGGGCAACGGCUUCAAGUUCUCCCUAUGUCAGGAGCCAAAUGCCGGCUAACCAUUUGUCCGAAGCUCGCCAAGAACUACCUGACAGAUGGUCUUUGUCAUCCUGGUAAACAGCACUGUUUUUGGCCCACUAUCAGGUAUACCUAUGUCCUUUGAGGAUGCGGGUCUAUGAUGACAAACCAAUGUCACAAAAGAGGUGAUGACAUAAAAAUCAUGCUCAAUAGGAUUACACUGAGGCCCAGGCAAAUGGACUGCGGAGAAAUGGGGGCCUAGUCUCCUCAGGCCAUUCUCAUAGACCAGUAAAAAAGGACCUCAUUCACCCAGGUGUGUUUCCCUCUCUGGGGAAUCCUGUGAGGUCCAAGUAAUCUUCUUUAGGAAAGCACCGAGCCUGCCUCAGAAGACAUUUGUUUGGGCAGUCUAUUGUAUGUCAAUUCUGGCUGGCAUCAACACUUUGCUUAUGUCCAUCUUUUCUUCUGCAUUUCAGUGAUGCAGGAUGCAGACUUGGUGCCCCAGUCAUUUCAACUUAAGGUGGGAAUUUCAAAGGCCUCUUAAUUUCAGGCGGGAGAUGAGCAUUGAAUCAUCCUCUGUUGUGCAGUUCCCUUGUUACUAUGCCUGGAGAUUUCAGAACCUUGAGAUCUAUGAAUUGAGGGGUCCAAGAAAUGGUUAUUCUACGAUUCCCCUGUCUUGGUACUUAUGUUUUGAUUCAUGGAAUGUUGACCACAUUCAUCCCCUUUCAGUCCAUUGGCAUUCCAUAUCACACAGUCUAGAAUUCCCUUGUCAAGUCACCGAAAAGUUCAACAAAUAUUACUGACCCAUCUGUUCUUUUUCAUUGAAAAGACCAUAUUUAUGUGAAUGGUAUUUUGUAAAAUAUAUUUUAACCACCUAAAUCUUCAGAUUUCUGUUCUUAAGUAAAUAAGACAUCUUAAAUCUUACUGCCUCUCAUUAUUUCCUAUCUCAUAUACUUAAAACUCGGUACCUCAUAUGCCAAUUUCUAUGCAUCUGUUCCUUCACCAGAAUUCUGAGUAAUACAAUGGAAUAAUUCGAUAUAAAUAGCCCAGGACAACAGACAAUACAUUUUAAUAAUCGACAUUUCUUAUUUAACUCCCUGUUAACUCUGACAAUGUACUCUUAGAGUUUUCACUAUUUAUUUUCUUUGCUGUCACAGGAAUGACUUUAAGAAUAUUUCCUAUAGGAAAGCACACAAAAUUUGUAUUUAACUAUUUAAGGCAUGAGAUAAUUUUUACUGUUCUUUUUCACAAUAUUGGAGCAUAAGGUGACCCUCAUGAGACUCAUGAUCAGACAAAUUAGCAAGAAUUAGUGUUACAUAAAAAAUCUUUUCUUUCGGGAUACCUAUAACUGAAAUUUAGAAAGUUAAGGAGAAUUACAAAGUGGUAGUUUACCAUAGAGAGAAUCAUCAAGACAUAAACACAAUAACCAAAAGACCUGCACUGAAAAUGCUUCUGAUAGUACUGUAGGCAUUACAUACCAGAUACACAUCCAUGAAGUUGAUGGCAUUUGAAUAUACACUGCAUUAUACAACAAAGAUUUGACUGUUAUUGACAAAAUGGAAAAUCCUUACUGGAUUGUGAGACACAGCACAAAGUCUGUGAUUAUGUGUAGGAGAAGAUGAUGAAAUCAUAGGGAAAUAAAGAGGAUGAGGAAUAAAAUGUAGUAAGCAUCUCGUGAUGAUUAUAUCCUCAUGAAAUCCAAAAGAUGGAAUGCCUCUAAAAUUAAUCAGAGGAUGACAUUUGCCAUUUUUAUUACUUUAAUUUUACAUAACAUUCUUCUAAAGUCAAUGCCAGUUCCCUCUCUCUUCCCUCAUUGAGCAACACCAAAAAUACCCUCAGCCCCCCAUGCUAUACCCACUCCCUUCCACAAAGUGUGUUUCCAGAAUCUGUCAUUUCGCUCAGGGAUGGGUCCAGACAAUCGCCUAAGAAUGAAGGCUGAGACAUCAUCCCUGUUUGUGUAAUGGACACACUAAGUACAUUUAUAUGCCUGGGAUGUAUACUGAUCUGUGCCCCAGGGACAAUAGUUUCAACAGGGUUAGAGUUAGGGUUAGGGUUCUCUUCUUCCCAGCUACCACUCCUCCCCACCUCCUGCC
Long non-coding RNA from Mesocricetus auratus (golden hamster), 20743 nucleotides. RefSeq lists it as uncharacterized. The transcript is spliced from 48 exons. The record is from RefSeq and is a predicted model, not a curated record. NCBI's taxonomy places the organism in Eukaryota, Metazoa, Chordata, Mammalia, Rodentia, Cricetidae.